RNAcentral lists this long non-coding RNA (7693 nucleotides) under Lactuca sativa (garden lettuce). RNAcentral's name for it is "long non-coding RNA (LSAT_LNC001249)". The record is from RNAcentral. Lineage: Eukaryota; Viridiplantae; Streptophyta; Magnoliopsida; Asterales; Asteraceae.
UAAUCCAUGAAAUUACACUUUACACUUUGUCUAAGUCGUUAGUGGAGCGUGUGUGGUUAACCGGCACACUAACUUGGACUUAACAAGGUAGGUAAAGGGUGACUUAAUAUUUAUCAUAGUAUCGAUGGAGCGUGUGUGGUUAACCGGCACAUCGAUUGAGGGGUAAUUUAUUAAGGGUACCAAGUGAUUUGCAUGGUUACUUCACACCUUGUUUUGUGAUCCUCGGCAUCCCAGUCACAAAACCUGAAGGGCACACUCGAGAUUGAAACAUGCCUUUGAAAAGUUCAAUGAAUCUCAAAGAUCUAGGAGUUUCAAAACCAAUUAAAACCUAAUAAUACAUUUCGUUUAUCUUGGUGGAAAUUGGUGAAUCGUCAUUCACCUACCUUCAAAUAUUUUAUAGCUUGGAUUACGGCAUACCUCUUCUAAGUUAUAAAAUAGUUUGUUGGGUCCUAGCCUUAAUAUUUCAUAUUGGGUGUCAUAUUAAGGACUUUAAAUCAACUAUCUUGAAUAUCUCCCAAAAGUUGUCUGGUUUAGGCACCUAUGAUCUUCCCAAAUCUUUUGAAACAAGGUUUCCUAAUGAAGAUGAUGUCCAAUGGAUAUCAUACUUAUUUCUCCUCCUCCAACUAUUCUCCCUAACCUACAUGUUCUCAAAAAAUUAAGGUCACUCAGGCCCUAUUGGCAAGGCAAGGUCUAGGUGUGGUCACAUCUUGGAGAUGUAGUCACAUAUUGACAAGCCGGGAGAGUUGGGUGUCAAAGUCUUGAGAAAGUUGGUGGUUCAACUACUUUCUAAGUCACAUAGUGAGUUCUUUUGGAACACCUAUGAAAAAGACUAUGACAAGACCCUUAAUGAUCUUAUCUAUUUGUUAAGAUCAACUUCCUAAAACUUUAUGGACAUUGACAAUGAUGACAUUGGAUAUCCAGUAAAGCAUUCUCUUCCCAAUGGAAAGGGAUCGGCUAUAGUCAACUCGGUUGACCAAAUGGUAAAGAGAAAAGCUAAGUCUGUGAUAGUCCUGUGUACCAUUAUCAAAGGGUCCAUAUGUUUGUAUUGCCAAAGAAAGGGCAUUGGUUGCGAAGCUGCCAAAUUUACCUAAGGAUGUUAAAGUCAAUAAGUUUGACUCUACUUCAGGUAAAAUCCACUAUCUAACUCUGUUAAGUUUCUAUUCUGAGAUUCUUGAUACAUGAUGUGACCGGGUCGCAUGGUGAUGGUUUAAGAAUCAAAGGAAAGUGAAGAAACUUAAAGGAAGAAUAUGCUGAAUCUGAUCGCAUAGAUGGAUUUCUAUCGCAUAGUUUGAAAAAUCGGAUUCUUGAGCUACUUCUUAGGAGUUAUGAGAUAUUGCUUAGGAAUAGAUAACAACAAGUUUUCAUAUGGAUUGUAAGGAUAGUUUUUCCGCAAAGUUUUAAAAUAAAAGGAAAUUUUUGAUUUUAUUUAUUUUAAAAUAUCCUUACAAUGGCAUCUGUGGAAAUUUUUGUUGCUUAUAAGAUUCCAUUAGUAGCAAGAGUGGAAGUAUGAAAUUGAUUCUUUCAUUUGUGGUAAUGUCUAAAUUUACCAAAUAAGGAAAGAUUCUCAUCACCCAAGUUUCAAUUGGACCGGAACUUGGAAUCAUGCAAGUUGUAUAGCAUGAUGAAUGAGAACUUUCAAGUUUUGGAAAAUUAAGACUAAUUACUUGUUCACAUGGAUGUGUGAGUCAAGUAAAGGACUUAGGGAUCGAGUACACAUUCUUGUGCACUGAUUAAGUCCACCACUAAAGAUCGAUAAGAAGAAUCAAAUAAGGCAGAAGGAUAAAAGUUUCUCAAAUCUGAAAAGAUGGGAGAGUACUUUAGUAUCAGUUUUGUGAUCAUCUUAAUGAUUAAGAAACCAUAUCAAAAUUAGUUCUCUAAGGAAAUCUUAGUGCAUUCUUAUGACUAAGAAGAGGAACUUGAAUUGUUGAAAUGGUUAAAUCAAGAAGAUGAGUCAUACUUCGUUCCAAUACAAGUCUUAGAGUCAUACUCCAAGAUUGUCAUUUGAGUGACAUGUCUUAAAGAAGGUUUAAAACACUUGUCAAAUGUAAGAGUAAAAGUUUUCUACUCUUGUACAUUUGAAAUUGGUAAGUUGUGAUGUUUUGGAUAAAACAAAGACCAACUUAGGCCAAUUGGGUAAAGUGUUUUUCUUGAUUAGAAUCCGCACUAUCUCUUGGAUGUUUGACAAGGGAGUCUUAUAUGUCAAGAGGACAGUGGGAGUCUUAAAGGUCUUGAAAGUCUCAAGAAAUAAUCAAGAAUAAAACCUAAAGUUCUUCACUAGCACACGACUUGAGGUUCAUAACCUAUCGUGUUGACAUAUUCUGUGCCCAUUCCAGUUAAAGUUGGUUUUGCAUAUGAGUUCUUAGAGUUCUCAAUUUGUUGCACAACAACUUGGAAGCAAUGGCAGGCCCUUGAGCUGCCAGGUGGCAAGAAGUUAAGAUUGAGUUCAAUCCAUAUGGUUUUGGAUUUGUCAUUAUCUUUGUCUUGUGAUUAUGGUUUGACAAAUUCAUAUGGGUAGGAACUCAUACACCAUAUAAAUCUAAGUGUCAUAAGGUUUCUCUCCGAUUCAUGAAAAUGAUGGUGAGGAAACGCUUUCACUAAGUAGAUUUUACGAAGAUAUCAAUUGUGUUAUUUGCAUUUUCAAAAGUCGUUAGUGGAGCGCGUGUGGUUAACCGGCACACUAACAUGGACUUGUGAGAAAUGGCAAAUGCCUAAGCAAUUGAGACCAUGAUUACGGUAUCCCUUUUCAUGGUUCUUGAAAUUGCUUAGACACACAGGUGAGCUAUCUACGGAAAGGGUGUAUGAAUCUAAAUUUCAGACUGUCCAGCUGAUUUCUGAGUACAUGUCAAAGCUAGUGGGAGCAUAAGUGUUAUGCUAAUAAUCAUCAUGUUAGUGGGAGCAUGAUAAUUAUGAUAAGUAUUGCAAGUUAGCAAUGUUAAUUAUAGAAAACAAAAGUUUCAAUUGGGAAAAAGUUGUUUUGCUAUAAUUAAGGGAGAGGAAAUUAUGCUUCAUCUCAAAUCUAUAAGCUUAGAUCGUGAGGUUUUAAUCAUUUAGUCAAGGAUAUAUAUGAAUUUCAUGUUGGAAUGGCUCAACAUAAGGAAAUUCUGUAUAUGGGUCCAUUAUUUGCGUUCUAAAAUUCGAUUAUGAUUACGGCAUCCCUUUUCAUAAUCUGAAUUAUGAGAACUUGGCAAAUUGAAAUGGAAAUAUUAUAGCAAAAGACUGGUUUAGUCUUUAUGUAAGACAUCAUGAAUCGUGUCCCAUAUGCUUCGGAUAUAGGAUCGAUUACAUGUGCUAUAUUCAUCCGUUCUAAAAUUUUCCAAAUGCCUGGGGCAUUAAGAAGGGAAAAGGUUUAGAACUGGAUAUGACUAAAAGGAUUAAACAAUUGUCGAGGACAAUCUAAGGUUUACCAAAGAUUGGUUACUCAAGGACAAUUGGAAGUAUAGUGAUAAUUCUGGAAGGACCAUAUUGACAUAAUCUGUAAGGAGGCAACUCUUGUUCAGAAGUGAUAGUCAAAAUGGAAUCUGGAAAUGUUUCAAAGUUAGAAUUUUCAAUCUGUGUAAGAUUAAGGAAACUUAAUGCAAGAAGGAUAUUUCCAAGGAGUUGAUCUCCUUUGGAAUACUCUGUAAUGAUUGUUGCCAAGUCUUUGUGACUUUGUGCAUAAUCAUUACAAGAGGAUCAAUGCAUAUAAGUUUAGAAUCUAACAGAUUUCAGUAAAUGGCAUGAAUUUGGAAUUCUUGCAUUUGCAGUAAGGAUUUGGGAGUGUGAAAAGAGAAUCAUUGAAGUUAUGUUCAAUUGAUCUAGUUCACAAAGUAAAGAUCAUAGACAAACAUAGUAUGCAUACUUGGUGUGUGGCAUGACUAGUGUUUAAGAAAACAUAGUGUACAUGCUUGGAGCAUGGGACAACUAUUGUUUUAAAUUCAAGAAUAAAGUUGAUAGCUGAAACAGUAUACAAUGAAUAAUGUGUAAUCAUAUGGUGAUAAAUAAAAGGUGUUUUAUUUAUGUUCAAAGGGUUGAUACCAUAUUGGAUUCAAUUAUUAUUGUGUUUCAUUUUGCAUGUUUUGACUUCCCGAAUAAACUGGGUUAUUCUUCCGGAAUGACUAAGUUAUUCAAACCAUCCACAGUCGGUCAUAUGUUGGAAGUAGAUAUGAAUUAAGACUGUCAUGGGUUGGCUUGUAGAGGUCUAAGGUGUUGGACAAAGGGCUACAACACUCAUGAGUGCUCAUAAGUUCUGAGUAUUGGAUUCAACCCGCGCUCAUUGGAAUCACUUCAUGGAUUUUAUCACGAGUGAUCAUGAGACGAUAAUAUCUUAUAUUCUUCAAACCUAGAGAUAUGAGUUGUUACUAUGAGUUGAUAGUACAUUGAUUGCACGAAAACGCAUUUGGUAACUCGGUGCUAUAAAACGUGCCUUUGUGUAUGAUUCAACAAGUAGUAGAACAAGCCAUAUGAGUCGAAGUUUAUCCAUUCCUUUUACCUUCGGGAUAAAAGCGAUAUCUGUGGGCCCCUCGAUGAUUUGAUGAUGACAAAUGGAAGUGCUCGGCCGGGCCAGGACUGAUUUGAUUUGUUCAAUUAGUCAGUCGUCAUAAAUCGGAAAUCGGGAAACAACAAAUGGACAGAGAGAAUGAUUAUAAUCCAUGUCUCAGUCCAUAUGAUAUCUAGAAUGGAGGAAUAUAUGAUCCCUUAUCUAAUGGACAAGUCAUUGACAAAGGUCAGAGUUCAUCUACAAGGUCAGAGUUCGACAGAAGCUUUUGAGAGCUACGAUUGCCAGUUGGUUCCUGAAGUCAUACGCAAUAAUAGUUUUAGACUUAUCCAAGUGGGAGACUGUUGGAUUAAUGUCUAAGUCCAUAACUAUAAUUGGUAAGACUUGACCCGACCCGGCAUGGUCCAUUUGGGUUGCAUACCAUCAUGCACUUGGAUAGACUAUAAUGAGAGAAAUAAGACACUUAUGGUUAUUAAUAUAUUAUAAGUUCUAGUAUAUUAAUAAUAAGAAUAAUAAGAUUAUUUAAUUAGUAUUGAUCAAGAAUUAAUCUAGGAUUAAUUAAGUGAUCAAAAGAAGACUAAUUAAAUAUAUGGGUUGAUUGUGUAAAUCAUCCAUACUUGUAUAGUGGGCUAAUGCUCCAUGGAUAAUCAAGUUGGGCUAAAACCCAUAGGAUGGUCCAUGGAUGCUCCAUGGUGUAUUUGUACCCAUGGAUCCAAGGAAAUGGAAAGCCAUGACAAUUAAGAGUUUACCCUAAUUGUGUAACUAUAUAAGCAUCUUAUUAUUGAGGAAAAAUCGGCCACUAGUGAUAGUGAAGAAAGGGCUAGCCGAUUUUGAAGAGUGUAGAAUUCUCUCAAGUCAUUCCAAGUGUUUUGAUGAUUGUGAUUCCAUUUGAGGUGUCACACUUGGGGCACUAGGCACUCAAGCUUCAUGAAGACUUUCUACAUCAAAGAGGUAUGUAUUCUAUCUUGUUAUAGUCAUUGUUUUGUAUGCUAGAUUAGGAUAAUACCUUGGAAGUUCUUAUUUGCAUGUAUAAUAGAGAAAACAUAGAUCCAAGGUAUUUAGGGUUGCAUGUACACUUAGGAGUGUUAGAAUGCUCAAAACCCAACAGUGGUAUCAGAGCCUAGGCUUGUUUUCUUGUUAUACCUGCAAUAGAAGCUGAAAAAACGAAUCUGGUGCUGUCUGGCCAUCAGACUCGGCGAGUCCAUCAGGAGACUCGACGAGUCCAUGCCUAAAAAGUGAUGAAUUCGAUCCAACUCGCCGAGUUUGUUCAUGCACUCGACGAGUUGGACCCCCAGACAGCAUAUUUUCGAGUUUUUUGGCUAGAAAUGGACUAGGAACAUUACCCUAAGUUGUUUUUGAACUUAUAAACUUGUUUUUGAUGUGGUAAUGUUCAUGCUAAUCCAUUUUCAAAGAUAAUUGUCAAUAGAUUCAUGUUUUGUAUUAGUUUAAGGUUUAGACUAAUUACAUGAAAAAGUUUGAUUUGAAUUAUCUUGUUCUUAUGAGUUGCUUAGAUUAAUAGAAAUGUUGAGUGAAAUAGUUGUUUUCAAUCCAUUUUAAUCUAAGAGUUGAGUAUAAAAUGUGUUUGUGUAACUUGUCCUCAAGUUACAUGAAGAGUCACAUUAAAGACUCAUAAAACUCAUAAAAGUUGGCAAUGGUUACAAAAUGAAGAGUCUUGUGUCAUUGAAUAAUUUUUUUUGACUCCAUAACUUGUCCUCAAGUUAUGGAAGUUCAAGAGUCACUUCAUUAAAGAAAAAUAUGUAACCAUAAUUAAAUCCAUAAGUUAUAAAAUAAAGAAAAAGUUAGUUCUUUUAUUAGUUUAAAGUCUUCCAUAACUUGUCCUCAAGUUAUGGAACUUGAAGAGUUUUUGGAUUAAAACUACUUUAAACACAUAAGUUAUGGAAUUAAUUAGUUUUGAAUAGUUUCAAAACUUGCCCUCAAGUUUUGGAAUUUGAAAAGUUUUCAAGUAUGAAUACUUUAAUUCCAAGUUAGCCCUUAGAAUUUUAAAAGUUAAAAUUCAACCCUUAUACUUUAUAAUAUUAUAAGUUAAUAAUAUAUAUAUGUAUAAGAGUAAAGUCAGUCUUACCGCUAGUACGCCUCAUUCACGAAGCCGGUCUAUAAGGUGGGUAUAAGGUUGUUGCCUAUAAAAUGGCAACUUAAUGGGUGUCCACUCUCACCCACCGCUUGCUUGACUGGUGGAGGGUCGUUAGCCGAACGGGUUUGACAGGACUAGAAUUCUCCCUUCAUUAAAAGUAUUAAUGAUAAUACUAAGUAACUAAACUCUUAAUAAUACCCAAUCUUAGUUACUUAGGAAAAAUGUGAAUAAGGUGCUAAUCCAUGAAAUUACACUUUACACUUUGUCUAAGUCGUUAGUGGAGCGUGUGUGGUUAACCGGCACACUAACUUGGACUUAACAAGGUAGGUAAAGGGUGACUUAAUAUUUAUCAUAGUAUCGAUGGAGCGUGUGUGGUUAACCGGCACAUCGAUUGAGGGGUAAUUUAUUAAGGGUACCAAGUGAUUUGCAUGGUUACUUCACACCUUGUUUUGUGAUCCUCGGCAUCCCAGUCACAAAACCUGAAGGGCACACUCGAGAUUGAAACAUGCCUUUGAAAAGUUCAAUGAAUCUCAAAGAUCUAGGAGUUUCAAAACCAAUUAAAACCUAAUAAUACAUUUCGUUUAUCUUGGUGGAAAUUGGUGAAUCGUCAUUCACCUACCUUCAAAUAUUUUAUAGCUUGGAUUACGGCAUACCUCUUCUAAGUUAUAAAAUAGUUUGUUGGGUCCUAGCCUUAAUAUUUCAUAUUGGGUGUCAUAUUAAGGACUUUAAAUCAACUAUCUUGAAUAUCUCCCAAAAGAUGUCUGGUUUAGACACCUAUGAUCUUCCCAAAUCUCUUGAAACAAGGUUUCCUAAUGAAGAUGAUGUCCCAUGGAUAUCAUACUUCUUCACCUCUUCAAAUUAUUCUCCCUAACCCACAAGUUCUUGAAAAGUUUAAGGUCACUCAGGCCCUAUUAGCAAGGCAAGGUCUAGGUGUGGUCACAUCUUGGAGAUGUAGUCACAUAUUGACAAGCCGGGAGAGUUGGGUGUCAAAGUCUUGAGAAAGUUGGUGGUUCAACCACUUUCUAAGUCACAUAGUGAGUUCCUUUGGGACACCUAUGAAACAGACUAUGACAAGACCCUUAAUGAUCUUAUCUAUUUGCUAAGAUCAACUUCCUAAAACUUUAUGG